RNAcentral lists this ribosomal RNA (256 nucleotides) under uncultured bacterium. Its description in RNAcentral is "partial 16S ribosomal RNA". It matches the Rfam family "Bacterial small subunit ribosomal RNA", at positions 524 to 776 of the family's 1533-position model. The record is from RNAcentral.
UACGGAGGAUCCAAGCGUUAUCCGGAUUUAUUGGGUUUAAAGGGUGCGUAGGCGGCCUGUUAAGUCAGGGGUGAAAGACGGUAGCUCAACCAUCGCAGUGCCCUUGAUACUGAUGAGCUUGAAUGAACUAGAGGUAGGCGGAAUGUGACAAGUAGCGGUGAAAUGCAUAGAUAUGUCACAGAACACCGAUUGCGAAGGCAGCUUACUAUGGUUUUUAUUGACGCUGAGGCACGAAAAGCGUGGGGGAUCAAACAGG